UUAAGCGACUAAGCGUACACGGUGGAUGCCCUGGCAGUCAGAGGCGAUGAAGGACGUGCUAAUCUGCGAAAAGCGCCGGCGAGGUGAUAUGAACCUUUGACCCGGCGAUGUCCGAAUGGGGAAACCCAGUGUGUUCCGACACACUAUCGUUAACUGAAUACAUAGGUUAACGAGGCGAACCGGGGGAACUGAAACAUCUAAGUACCCCGAGGAAAAGAAAUCAACCGAGAUUCCCCCAGUAGCGGCGAGCGAACGGGGAGCAGCCCAGAGUCUGAAUCAGCUUGUGUGUUAGUGGAAGCGUCUGGAAAGUCGCACGGUACAGGGUGACAGUCCCGUACACGAAAGCACACAGGCUGUGAACUCGAAGAGUAGGGCGGGACACGUGGUAUCCUGUCUGAAUAUGGGGGGACCAUCCUCCAAGGCUAAAUACUCCUGACUGACCGAUAGUGAACCAGUACCGUGAGGGAAAGGCGAAAAGAACCCCGGCGAGGGGAGUGAAAAAGAACCUGAAACCGUGUACGUACAAGCAGUGGGAGCCUCUUUUAUGGGGUGACUGCGUACCUUUUGUAUAAUGGGUCAGCGACUUAUAUUCUGUAGCAAGGUUAACCGUAUAGGGGAGCCGAAGGGAAACCGAGUCUUAACUGGGCGUUAAGUUGCAGGGUAUAGACCCGAAACCCGGUGAUCUAGCCAUGGGCAGGUUGAAGGUUGGGUAACACUAACUGGAGGACCGAACCGACUAAUGUUGAAAAAUUAGCGGAUGACUUGUGGCUGGGGGUGAAAGGCCAAUCAAACCGGGAGAUAGCUGGUUCUCCCCGAAAGCUAUUUAGGUAGCGCCUCGUGAAUUCAUCUUCGGGGGUAGAGCACUGUUUCGGCUAGGGGGCCAUCCCGGCUUACCAACCCGAUGCAAACUACGAAUACCGAAGAAUGUUAUCACGGGAGACACACGGCGGGUGCUAACGUCCGUCGUGAAGAGGGAAACAACCCAGACCGCCAGCUAAGGUCCCAAAGUCAUGGUUAAGUGGGAAACGAUGUGGGAAGGCACAGACAGCCAGGAUGUUGGCUUAGAAGCAGCCAUCAUUUAAAGAAAGCGUAAUAGCUCACUGGUCGAGUCGGCCUGCGCGGAAGAUGUAACGGGGCUAAACCAUGCACCGAAGCUGCGGCAGCGACGCUUAUGCGUUGUUGGGUAGGGGAGCGUUCUGUAAGCCGUUGAAGGUGUCCUGUGAGGGGUGCUGGAGGUAUCAGAAGUGCGAAUGCUGACAUAAGUAACGAUAAAGCGGGUGAAAAGCCCGCUCGCCGGAAGACCAAGGGUUCCUGUCCAACGUUAAUCGGGGCAGGGUGAGUCGACCCCUAAGGCGAGGCCGAAAGGCGUAGUCGAUGGGAAACAGGUUAAUAUUCCUGUACUUGGUGUUACUGCGAAGGGGGGACGGAGAAGGCUAUGUUAGCCGGGCGACGGUUGUCCCGGUUUAAGCAUGUAGGCGGAGGUUCCAGGUAAAUCCGGUUCCUUGUUAACGCUGAGGUGUGAUGACGAGGCACUACGGUGCUGAAGUAACAAAUGCCCUGCUUCCAGGAAAAGCCUCUAAGCAUCAGGUAACACGAAAUCGUACCCCAAACCGACACAGGUGGUCAGGUAGAGAAUACCAAGGCGCUUGAGAGAACUCGGGUGAAGGAACUAGGCAAAAUGGUGCCGUAACUUCGGGAGAAGGCACGCUGAUAUGUAGGUGAAGCCCCUGCGGGUGGAGCUGAAAUCAGUCGAAGAUACCAGCUGGCUGCAACUGUUUAUUAAAAACACAGCACUGUGCAAACACGAAAGUGGACGUAUACGGUGUGACGCCUGCCCGGUGCCGGAAGGUUAAUUGAUGGGGUUAGCGGUAACGCGAAGCUCUUGAUCGAAGCCCCGGUAAACGGCGGCCGUAACUAUAACGGUCCUAAGGUAGCGAAAUUCCUUGUCGGGUAAGUUCCGACCUGCACGAAUGGCGUAAUGAUGGCCAGGCUGUCUCCACCCGAGACUCAGUGAAAUUGAACUCGCUGUGAAGAUGCAGUGUACCCGCGGCAAGACGGAAAGACCCCGUGAACCUUUACUAUAGCUUGACACUGAACACUGGUCCUUGAUGUGUAGGAUAGGUGGGAGGCUUUGAAGCGUGGACGCCAGUCUGCGUGGAGCCAACCUUGAAAUACCACCCUUUAAUGGCUGGUGUUCUAACGUAGACCCGUGAUCCGGGUUGCGGACAGUGUCUGGUGGGUAGUUUGACUGGGGCGGUCUCCUCCCAAAGAGUAACGGAGGAGCACGAAGGUUAGCUAAUCCUGGUCGGACAUCAGGAGGUUAGUGCAAUGGCAUAAGCUAGCUUGACUGCGAGAGUGACGGCUCGAGCAGGUGCGAAAGCAGGUCAUAGUGAUCCGGUGGUUCUGAAUGGAAGGGCCAUCGCUCAACGGAUAAAAGGUACUCCGGGGAUAACAGGCUGAUACCGCCCAAGAGUUCAUAUCGACGGCGGUGUUUGGCACCUCGAUGUCGGCUCAUCACAUCCUGGGGCUGAAGUAGGUCCCAAGGGUAUGGCUGUUCGCCAUUUAAAGUGGUACGCGAGCUGGGUUUAGAACGUCGUGAGACAGUUCGGUCCCUAUCUGCCGUGGGCGCUGGAGAAUUGAGGGGGGCUGCUCCUAGUACGAGAGGACCGGAGUGGACGCAUCACUGGUGUUCGGGUUGUCAUGCCAAUGGCACUGCCCGGUAGCUAAAUGCGGAAGAGAUAAGUGCUGAAAGCAUCUAAGCACGAAACUUGCCCCGAGAUGAGUUCUCCCUGAGACUUUAAGUCUCCUGAAGGAACGUUGAAGACUACGACGUUGAUAGGUCGGGUGUGUAAGCGCAGCGAUGCGUUGAGCUAACCGAUACUAAUGAACCGUGAGGCUUAACCU
This 2904-nucleotide ribosomal RNA is filed under the name Enterobacter ludwigii. RNAcentral's name for it is "23S ribosomal RNA". It matches the Rfam family "Bacterial large subunit ribosomal RNA". The record is from RNAcentral. Lineage: Bacteria; Pseudomonadati; Pseudomonadota; Gammaproteobacteria; Enterobacterales; Enterobacteriaceae.